CCUACGGGAGACAGCAGUGAGGAAUAUUGGUCAAUGGACGAGAGUCUGAACCAGCCAAGUAGCGUGAAGGAUGACUGCCCUAUGAGUUGUAAACUUCUUUUAUAGAGGAAUAAAACGAGGCACGUGUGCGUUUUUGCAUGUACUUUAUGAAUAAGGAUCGGCUAACUCCGUGCCAGCAGCCGCGGUAAUACGGAGGAUCCGAGCGUUAUCCGGAUUUAUUGGGUUUAAAGGGAGCGUAGGUGGGUUGUUAAGUCAGUUGUGAAAGUUUGCGGCUCAACCGUAAAAUUGCAAUUGAUACUGGCAGUCGUGAGUACAGUAGAGGUGGGCGGAAUUCGUGGUGUAGCGGUGAAAUGCUUAGAUAUCACGAAGAACCCCGAUUGCGAAGGCAGCUUACUAGACUGUAACUGACAUUGAUGCUCGAAAGUGUGGGUAUCAAACAGGAUUAGAUACCCUAGUAGUC
This 460-nucleotide ribosomal RNA is filed under the name uncultured bacterium. RNAcentral describes it as "partial 16S ribosomal RNA". It matches the Rfam family "Bacterial small subunit ribosomal RNA", at positions 338 to 795 of the family's 1533-position model. The record is from RNAcentral.